This is a non-coding RNA of Solanum tuberosum (potato), 133 nucleotides long. NCBI's taxonomy places the organism in Eukaryota, Viridiplantae, Streptophyta, Magnoliopsida, Solanales, Solanaceae. The record is from Rfam.
AAAAAAGCAGGGAUGGAUUGCCUUUAGUGAAUUGAUCUCUCGUAAACUUCAGGGACAUCAAAAAUUGCAUUGUUAUUGGGUGAACCACUUGAUUUGUUUGUGAUGGCUUGGUUCAGUAAACGAUGAUACAUCC